RNAcentral lists this small nuclear RNA (163 nucleotides) under Penaeus chinensis. RNAcentral describes it as "U1 spliceosomal RNA". It matches the Rfam family "U1 spliceosomal RNA". Rfam says of the family: U1 is a small nuclear RNA (snRNA) component of the spliceosome (involved in pre-mRNA splicing). Its 5' end forms complementary base pairs with the 5' splice junction, thus defining the 5' donor site of an intron. Lineage: Eukaryota; Metazoa; Arthropoda; Malacostraca; Decapoda; Penaeidae. The record is from RNAcentral.
AUACUUACCUGGCACAGGAGAUACCGUGAUCACGAAGGCGGUUUUCCCAGGGCGAGGCUCACCAUUGCACUCCGGUGGCGCUGACCCCUGCGAUUAACCCAAAUGUGGUUAACUCGAGUGCGCAAUUUUUGGUAGCGGGGGACUGCGUUCGCGCUAACCCCCU